CAGGCUUAACACAUGCAAGUCGAGGGGCAGCAUGGUCUUAGCUUGCUAAGGCCGAUGGCGACCGGCGCACGGGUGAGUAACACGUAUCCAACCUGCCGUCUACUCUUGGACAGCCUUCUGAAAGGAAGAUUAAUACAAGAUGGCAUCAUGAGUCCGCAUGUUCACAUGAUUAAAGGUAUUCCGGUAGACGAUGGGGAUGCGUUCCAUUAGAUAGUAGGCGGGGUAACGGCCCACCUAGUCUUCGAUGGAUAGGGGUUCUGAGAGGAAGGUCCCCCACAUUGGAACUGAGACACGGUCCAAACUCCUACGGGAGGCAGCAGUGAGGAAUAUUGGUCAAUGGGCGAGAGCCUGAACCAGCCAAGUAGCGUGAAGGAUGACUGCCCUAUGGGUUGUAAACUUCUUUUAUAAAGGAAUAAAGUCGGGUAUGCAUACCCGUUUGCAUGUACUUUAUGAAUAAGGAUCGGCUAACUCCGUGCCAGCAGCCGCGGUAAUACGGAGGAUCCGAGCGUUAUCCGGAUUUAUUGGGUUUAAAGGGAGCGUAGAUGGAUGUUUAAGUCAGUUGUGAAAGUUUGCGGCUCAACCGUAAAAUUGCAGUUGAUACUGGAUAUCUUGAGUGCAGUUGAGGCAGGCGGAAUUCGUGGUGUAGCGGUGAAAUGCUUAGAUAUCACGAAGAACUCCGAUUGCGAAGGCAGCCUGCUAAGCUGCAACUGACAUUGAGGCUCGAAAGUGUGGGUAUCAAACAGGAUUAGAUACCCUGGUAGUCCACACGGUAAACGAUGAAUACUCGCUGUUUGCGAUAUACAGCAAGCGGCCAAGCGAAAGCGUUAAGUAUUCCACCUGGGGAGUACGCCGGCAACGGUGAAACUCAAAGGAAUUGACGGGGGCCCGCACAAGCGGAGGAACAUGUGGUUUAAUUCGAUGAUACGCGAGGAACCUUACCCGGGCUUAAAUUGCAGAUGAAUUACGGUGAAAGCCGUAAGCCGCAAGGCAUCUGUGAAGGUGCUGCAUGGUUGUCGUCAGCUCGUGCCGUGAGGUGUCGGCUUAAGUGCCAUAACGAGCGCAACCCUUGUUGUCAGUUACUAACAGGUUCCGCUGAGGACUCUGACAAGACUGCCAUCGUAAGAUGUGAGGAAGGUGGGGAUGACGUCAAAUCAGCACGGCCCUUACGUCCGGGGCUACACACGUGUUACAAUGGGGGGUACAGAGGGCCGCUACCACGCGAGUGGAUGCCAAUCCCAAAAACCUCUCUCAGUUCGGACUGGAGUCUGCAACCCGACUCCACGAAGCUGGAUUCGCUAGUAAUCGCGCAUCAGCCACGGCGCGGUGAAUACGUUCCCGGGCCUUGUACACACCGCCCGUCAAGCCAUGGGAGCCGGGGGUACCUGAAGUGCGUAACCGCGAGGAGCGCCCUAGGGUAAAACUGGUGACUGG
This 1431-nucleotide ribosomal RNA is filed under the name uncultured organism. Its description in RNAcentral is "16S ribosomal RNA". It matches the Rfam family "Bacterial small subunit ribosomal RNA". The record is from RNAcentral.